GGACCCUACUGCUAUCGGGAUAGGACUAAGACAUGCAUGUCGUACGUCUCUCAGCUAUGAAAGAGACGCGGCACACGGCUCAGUAACAUGUGGCUAACCUACCCUUAGGACAGAGAUAACCCCGGGAAACUGGGGCCAAUCCCUGAUAGGCGUGGACUCCUGGAAUGGAUCUACACCCAAAGGGCACCCAAGUCAUGCUUUGGAUGUUGCCUAAGGAUGGGGCCGCAGCCGAUCAGGUUGUUGGUGAGGUAACGGCUCACCAAUCCUAUAACCGGUACGGGCCGCGGGAGCGGUAGCCCGGAGAUGGAUCCUGAGACAAGGAUCCAGGUCCUACGGGGCGCAGCAGGCGCGAAAACUCCGCAAUGCGCGAAAGCGUGACGGGGUCACCCCGAGUGUCACCUGCUGAAGGUAACUUUUCCUCAGUCUAACCAGCUGAAGGUAAUAAGGGGAGGGCAAGUCUGGUGUCAGCCGCCGCGGUAAUACCAGCUCCCCGAGUGGUAAGGACGAUUAUUGGGCCUAAAGCGUCCGUAGCUGGCUUGAUAAGUUUCCCGUUAAAUCCGACGAUCCAAUCGUCGGGCUGCGGGAAAUACUGUUAAGCUAGGAGGCGGGAGAGGCCGGCGGUACUUUUGGGGUAGGGGUGAAAUCCUAUAAUCCCAAGAGGACCACCAGUGGCGAAGGCGACCGGCCAGAACGCACUCGACGGUGAGGGACGAAAGCUGGGGGAGCAAACCGGAUUAGAUACCCGGGUAGUCCCAGCUGUAAACGAUGCGGGCUAAGUGUCGGGAUGGCCAUAGAGCCAUCUCGGUGCUGCAGGGAAGCCGUUAAGCCCCGCCGCCUGGGGAGUACGGCCGCAAGGUUGAAACUUAA
This 867-nucleotide ribosomal RNA is filed under the name uncultured archaeon. Its description in RNAcentral is "partial 16S ribosomal RNA". It matches the Rfam family "Archaeal small subunit ribosomal RNA", at positions 19 to 859 of the family's 1478-position model. The record is from RNAcentral.